This is a long non-coding RNA of Dermacentor albipictus, 1019 nucleotides long. RefSeq lists it as uncharacterized. The record is from RefSeq and is a predicted model, not a curated record. NCBI's taxonomy places the organism in Eukaryota, Metazoa, Arthropoda, Arachnida, Ixodida, Ixodidae.
AAGAGAGGAACAAACAAGCAAGCAAGCCUUCGCCACCGCCUCACAAAAAUCUGCAUUAUGCCAGCGUCACCGGUCAGUUGCCCUCCAACAUUGAAGCCACCUGCUGAGCAGCCAGGCCAACGGGUUUGGCAAGCCGCGGUGCCUCGACAGCCUCUCGAAGCUGGAGCAGAAGCUCGACCACCUCGACCAACGGCCAACGGCCAACCACGAACGCUGGAAUUAAGCGCCAUUUCAGGUGGCAGCGGAGGCGGAACCGCCGGCAGCGCGAAGAGCAGCACCAACGGUGACAGGUUCUGGCGGCGUUCUGAACAAUGGGAUCCCCGCCUGCUGUGCGUGCUCUACCUCGUGGCGCUAAGUGGACUGCUGCUUGUCGUGGGCAGGUACUACCUGGGAGGCCAGCCCGAGGGUCCUCGUCUUGUUUCCGCGACCCUCGAGAGAUCGCCCUCGUCUGGUCCUUCUGCAGCCAACGAUAUCACGUGGUGGACGGCUUUCACGAAACGUAGGAGAGCGGCGUCAACGAUGGACGUAGAGGUGACGGAGGAGUUAAAGGUAUCGGCGCUGUCGCAACUCCCUGCUACCAGCGCCUCAGCCAAGAGAGAUAAAAGUAGCAGGAGUACGGCUCACAUGGUAACAAUUACGAAGAGGGUGGUAUUGCCCUCGAUGUCUCACCCAUUGGAACCAACUAUAGGGUCUCCGGUACAGCCACGGGGUACCGGGGUGGUGAAAAACCGGACCCGCAUGCCCUCGUCAUGGUCAGUCGUCACAUUCUGAGGCGAAAUAAUCGGUGCAGUCUCAAGAUGGAAUAUACCGGCCUUGAGAGUGAACAAACAUCGACAAAAUGCGCCGAAGGCUCACCAUCUGGCUCAAGGCGAUAACUGCACGUGAGCGGCUCUCGAGAUGUCCACGAGUGGACUCCAUAACGUGGGAGAGGAACGAAAUGUAGUCUGCGCUUUCAUCGUUGAGAGUACUGUAGAUAUUGGUAGUAGUUGCUUAAUUCAAUAAAAUAUGUUGCUGGGCUA